AUACAUUUAUUGGCCUUUUGGUUUAAGAUCAAAUGUAGUAUAUGUUCUUAUCAGUUUAAUAUCUGAUACGUGGACCAUUGGUCCACAUGAUAUUAAAUUAAUUUUUUAAGAGGAAGAGUCCAUCACAAUAGCUUGCUAUUGGGGUUUUUAUGGGUCGCCUAAGUGUUGCACUACUUCUUGGGCCUGGCACACCCCAC
Molecule: small nuclear RNA, 197 nt
Organism: Malus domestica (apple)
Lineage: Eukaryota; Viridiplantae; Streptophyta; Magnoliopsida; Rosales; Rosaceae
Product: U2 spliceosomal RNA
Source: RefSeq, a predicted model, not a curated record